CCUACGGGAGGCAGCAGUAGGGAAUAUUGGGCAAUGGGCGAAAGCCUGACCCAGCCACGCCGCGUGCAGGAAGACGGCCCUCUGGGUUGUAAACUGCUUUUGACUGGGAAGAAGAAGCUCAUGCGUGAGAAGUUGACGGUACCAGUCGAAUAAGCCACGGCUAACUACGUGCCAGCAGCCGCGGUAAUACGUAGGUGGCAAGCGUUAUCCGGAUUUAUGGGUUUAAAGGGAGCGUAGGCGGCUUAAUAAGUCAGUGGUUAAAGGUAGCAGCUUAACUGUUUUACAUGCCACUGAUACUGUUGAGCUUGAGUUGACAGAAGGCAGAUAGAAUUUCUGGUGUAGCGGUGAAAUGCUUAGAUACCAGAAGGAAUACCGAUUGCGAAGGCAGUCUGCUGCAGUCACACUGACGCUGAGGCUCGAAGGUGCGGGGAUCAAACAGGAUUAGAUACCCUGGUAGUCCGCACAGUAAACGAUGAUUACUGAUGUGUACGACGACAGUGUCGACGGAACGAGAAGUAAUAC
Molecule: ribosomal RNA, 522 nt
Filed under: uncultured bacterium
Lineage: Bacteria
Description: bacterial SSU rRNA
Rfam family: Bacterial small subunit ribosomal RNA
Source: RNAcentral